GCAUCCGUAGCUCAGCUGGAUAGAGUACUCGGCUACGANNAGCGGUCGGAGGUUCGAAUCCUCCCGGAUGCACCA
This 75-nucleotide transfer RNA is filed under the name Klebsiella pneumoniae. RNAcentral's name for it is "tRNA-OTHER". It matches the Rfam family "tRNA". From Rfam's summary of the family: Transfer RNA (tRNA) molecules are approximately 80 nucleotides in length. Lineage: Bacteria; Pseudomonadati; Pseudomonadota; Gammaproteobacteria; Enterobacterales; Enterobacteriaceae. The record is from RNAcentral.